Molecule: long non-coding RNA, 681 nt
Filed under: Nicotiana benthamiana
Lineage: Eukaryota; Viridiplantae; Streptophyta; Magnoliopsida; Solanales; Solanaceae
Description: long non-coding RNA (NBEN_LNC017107)
Source: RNAcentral
AGUUGGCCUCUUCGUGAGUUUGUCCUUAAAAGGAACUAUAACUUUCCAAUCUUAAGGUGGACAUAUAAGUCCCUUUGCACCUUAAGUUGGCCUCUUUGUGGGUUUGUCCUUAAAAGAAACUAUAACUUUCCAAUCUUAAGGUGGACACAUGAGUCCCUUUGCACCUUAAGUUGGCCUCGCGGGUAGUAAAGCCACGCACUGUGGCCGUUUUGAGAGUAGUCUCUCAGAUAGUCCAGCCAUACACAUCUCUCCGAUAGUCAAGCCACGCACUAUGGCAGUUUUGAGAGUAAUCUCUCCGAUAAUCAAGCCACGCACUGUGACCGUUUUGAAAGUGAUCUCUCCGAUAGUCAAGCCAUGCAUUGUGGCCGUGUUCAGAAUAAUCUAUCCGAUAGUCAAUCCACAUUCUGUGGACAUAUAAGUCUUCCAAUAUUAAGGUGGAUAUAUGAGUUCCUUUGCACCUUAAGUUGGCCUCUCCGAUAGUCGGGCAAGAAUGAGUACUCAUCCCCUCACACCGUUUUUUUAUGCGUGGAUCUCGCUUAAACUACAAAAAAAAAGAGACAACAACGUAAACAAAUAAGAAAGUACAAGAAAAGAAGAGACAACAACGUAAAACAAAUAAGAAAGCAUAAGAAAAGAAGAAGAAAUCACCUUCACGUCAAUGCUUCCAAGUCGUUAAAAAUA